This 301-nucleotide ribosomal RNA is filed under the name uncultured bacterium. Its description in RNAcentral is "partial 16S ribosomal RNA". It matches the Rfam family "Bacterial small subunit ribosomal RNA", at positions 509 to 807 of the family's 1533-position model. The record is from RNAcentral.
CAGUAGCCGCGGGAAUACGUAGGGUGCAAGCGUUAAUCGGAAUUACUGGGCGUAAAGCGUGCGCAGGCGGUUCUAUAAGACAGAUGUGAAAUCCCCGGGCUCAACCUGGGAACUGCAUUUGUGACUGUAGAGCUGGAGUGCGGCAGAGGGGGAUGGAAUUCCGCGCGUAGCAGUGAAAUGCGUAGAUAUGCGGAGGAACACCGAUGGCGAAGGCAAUCCCCUGGGCCUGCACUGACGCUCAUGCACGAAAGCGUGGGGAGCGAACAGGAUUAGAUACCCCCGUAGUCCCUGUCUCUUAUAC